GAUGAACGCUGGCGGCGUGCCUAAUACAUGCAAGUCGAGCGAACGGACGAGAAGCUUGCUUCUCUGAUGUUAGCGGCGGACGGGUGAGUAACACGUGGAUAACCUACCUAUAAGACUGGGAUAACUUCGGGAAACCGGAGCUAAUACCGGAUAAUAUUUUGAACCGCAUGGUUCAAAAGUGAAAGACGGUCUUGCUGUCACUUAUAGAUGGAUCCGCGCUGCAUUAGCUAGUUGGUAAGGUAACGGCUUACCAAGGCAACGAUGCAUAGCCGACCUGAGAGGGUGAUCGGCCACACUGGAACUGAGACACGGUCCAGACUCCUACGGGAGGCAGCAGUAGGGAAUCUUCCGCAAUGGGCGAAAGCCUGACGGAGCAACGCCGCGUGAGUGAUGAAGGUCUUCGGAUCGUAAAACUCUGUUAUUAGGGAAGAACAUAUAUGUAAGUAACUGUGCACAUCUUGACGGUACCUAAUCAGAAAGCCACGGCUAACUACGUGCCAGCAGCCGCGGUAAUACGUAGGUGGCAAGCGUUAUCCGGAAUUAUUGGGCGUAAAGCGCGCGUAGGCGGUUUUUUAAGUCUGAUGUGAAAGCCCACGGCUCAACCGUGGAGGGUCAUUGGAAACUGGAAAACUUGAGUGCAGAAGAGGAAAGUGGAAUUCCAUGUGUAGCGGUGAAAUGCGCAGAGAUAUGGAGGAACACCAGUGGCGAAGGCGACUUUCUGGUCUGUAACUGACGCUGAUGUGCGAAAGCGUGGGGAUCAAACAGGAUUAGAUACCCUGGUAGUCCACGCCGUAAACGAUGAGUGCUAAGUGUUAGGGGGUUUCCGCCCCUUAGUGCUGCAGCUAACGCAUUAAGCACUCCGCCUGGGGAGUACGACCGCAAGGUUGAAACUCAAAGGAAUUGACGGGGACCCGCACAAGCGGUGGAGCAUGUGGUUUAAUUCGAAGCAACGCGAAGAACCUUACCAAAUCUUGACAUCCUUUGACAACUCUAGAGAUAGAGCUUUCCCCUUCGGGGGGCAAAGUGACAGGUGGUGCAUGGUUGACGUCAGCUCGUGUCGUGAGAUGUUGGGUUAAGUCCCGCAACGAGCGCAACCCUUAAGCUUAGUUGCCAUCAUUAAGUUGGGCACUCUAAGUUGACUGCCGGUGACAAACCGGAGGAAGGUGGGGAUGACGUCAAAUCAUCAUGCCCCUUAUGAUUUGGGCUACACACGUGCUACAAUGGACAAUACAAAGGGCAGCGAAACCGCGAGGUCAAGCAAAUCCCAUAAAGUUGUUCUCAGUUCGGAUUGUAGUCUGCAACUCGACUACAUGAAGCUGGAAUCGCUAGUAAUCGUAGAUCAGCAUGCUACGGUGAAUACGUUCCCGGGUCU
RNAcentral lists this ribosomal RNA (1372 nucleotides) under uncultured bacterium. Its description in RNAcentral is "bacterial SSU rRNA". It matches the Rfam family "Bacterial small subunit ribosomal RNA", at positions 28 to 1381 of the family's 1533-position model. The record is from RNAcentral.